Exaiptasia diaphana is the source of this 3191-nucleotide long non-coding RNA. RefSeq lists it as uncharacterized. NCBI's taxonomy places the organism in Eukaryota, Metazoa, Cnidaria, Anthozoa, Actiniaria, Aiptasiidae. The record is from RefSeq and is a predicted model, not a curated record. The transcript is spliced from 3 exons.
UACGAUGUCGAACGCAUAACGUUGCUUAUUUCUUAUCUCAAACAAUUAUAAGGAAAUACAUUUAUUAGAGCUCUCCAAGCCUUGAAAGGGUCAAGCAUCAACAGAGGAUUAUCAGAUGAACUGCUGGUAGUGGCACUUGACUGUACCUGCAAAUUACAAUGUGCUAUUUCCUCCCUUGCUCAGUUUAAGAGGAGUGACCUGCUUGGGAGCUGUAGUUCCUUGAGCUGUUGGCUGAAUACGUUCCACAAACAGUUGUGGCUCAGGCUGUUGGGCUCGUCUUUUGGUCUGUUGGUGACCUUUGUAGCCAGCAGAGGCUGGUUUUUUGUAAGUGUUAUAGGCCUUUGGUAUAAAGUCACGGUAUGCCUUGAUGUGCUGCAUCUUUCUGUCUCCACUCCAUCGAUUCCAUAAAUGAGGGUCAACAGCAAAUUGGUCGAAUCCAGGCGCAAGUCUGUACUUCCCAAUGCCACGAAUGGCUCUUAUUUCUUCCACAAUAAACUCCUGGGACCACUUCUGAAGUUCUUCGCUAACGUUAUGGACUUCUCUUGGUAUGUCUGCUUCCUUGAUGUGCUUUUUCUGAAGUUUGUGCUUUAGUUCUAGGCCAUUUGUAUAGAAUCUACCAUUUAUCCCAAGUUCUGCUCUUGCUGUCAUGACCAGAUUGUUCUUGAAGUAGUCUCCUCUAUUUUUUGUGAACCAUGCAUGGAAGCCAGGGACUUUCAUCUCCCAAAGAGUCUUGAGACUGUCAAGCUUGGUGUCAAAAUCAAUGGCAUCAUCAGCAUCUGCAAGCCCACAUUGUAACAGUACGUCAUUUUGGGUCCCAUAGAUGUCAGCGAGGAUGGAAUUUUUGGUAUUCUGAUUACAUCCCAUUAUGUGAAGUUGGUGGGCAUCUCUUUCUUGAAGGUGUUGGGUGCAGAAUAACUGUUGUGCAUUGUUGAAGAUAUCAGUCAUGCCCUUUGCCAAUGCUUGAUCAAGAUCAUGACCUAUUUUUUUCAAACCAAUGAGACCUGGAUGUGCAAUAGCAAGCUCCCCAGCAAAUCGUCUAUAACUUUCACGUGUCUUUCUGAAAUGCCAAAAACUGGGGCCUGGGAACUCUGGAUGUUUCCCUUUAAGAUUAAUGAGGCCUUCAUGGGUAUAUGUAGUGUCAGUCAGCCAGAGACCAUCCACUAGUUCAAAUGUUGUGUCCACAUGCAAUAUUGAGUUUCCAAGAACACAGAAUUUGUUUAUGUCAUUUAACAUGGAAGCCAGGUAGUUGACAGUAAGAUACUGGUCUUUAGUAAAGGUUACAGUGUUAAUCAGGUCAAGGUUUUUAAGGCUUGAUACCAGUACUUCUGCUUCGCUAUGUCUGUCUGUGGAACUGCCAGGUGUGGCUGUGGAUUUCUUUGAUGCCAGCUUUCUAUUGUGGACCAUUUUAGGGUCACAGAGUGUCUCACUCAUUGUUUCGGUGGAUGUUUUCAUGGCUAUUUCAUUAUAAACCUUGUCUGUGGACAUGCCUUCUUCUAACAAUUUAUCCACUUCUGACACCAGUUUUGGGUCUUUCUUGUAGUAUGUGCUAGUUGUUGGCCGCUUAGCGUUACCAUGUCGUGGUGCUAUAAAGUCAGAUGGUCCUUGAUCAUCUUUAGCCCAGCGAUACAUCACAAGAUAGUAGGGCUUGGGGUCUUUGUCACUUGCCGCUUUUACAUAUGCUAUCGUGCGGGAAAAAUCUGGGUUGUGUUUACUUGUGCGAUACCGAUGGGUAAGCUCAUAAACCUCUCUUUCAUCUACAAAUUUUCUUUUGUACGAUUUAGAAUCUUUAAUGUUGACAUAAAAAGCUCCAUUUUCCGUCUUAUGGGCUGUCGCAGAACCAGAAUCAUUGUAUAGAAAGUAUCGUGUAACACUUCCUCUUGACAGAUAAGCGCCAUUGUCAUCUGACUCUGCAGACUUUAUUGGAAUAUUUCUCAUGUCAAGGGUGAAGAUCUUGUUUUCCCUGAUUGCAGAGGGCUUUUGCUUGAAGUCAAGUUCUUCUGGGUUUUGUAGUAGUAUGUUGAGAAUAGUUGAGUGGCUGUUGGUGAUAGAAAAAUUUCAUGUCAAGCAUUACUGGCUUAAGUUUCUCCCUACAGUCACUUGCAGAAAUUCUUUCCCAAAAGAUAAAUGAACAAAAAUAAAUGUGGAAAAUAGUUGACGGUGUAGGAACUGAGCUACACUGUACUUGUAAUGAAAAACUAUUUUAUAUCAUGAAUUACCUUGCAUCGUUUUUCAUAGAUGUUUCUUCAUUUGUAUUGGUUAAUAAAAGUGGAGGAGAGUUUUCAUCCUUUACCUUAUAUAAACAAAACAAAUGUUAUCUUUCUAUUAUUGUUAACAUGGAAUAAAGUGCUGAUUGACUUAUCAAUUUUGCUGGUGCAUUGUCAGGUUACUGCUGAAAGAGCUCUAGUCCUAUAUCUACAAGCUGGCAUUACUAAUGUAUGCUUACCUUAAUUGGUAAAGACUCCAUCAAUUGGUCAUCAUCAUAGUCAUCAUCAUCAUCAUCAUCAUCAUCAUCAUCAUCGGAUAGUAUAGUAAUAAUUUCUAGAAAACAAUUAGCAGACAUAUUUUUAAUAAUGAACUAUCAGUUAACAUAUUAAAUACUGUUAUAAGAUUUUUUUUUAACAGAAUUAAGAAUCAAACACUCAAUAUUUCACCUUUUGCUGAAAUGCAUGUAAUUAAAUGAUUUAUGAUUACCUUCUGGAUCUUCUCUUGACUUCAACAUUUUGGAGAGUUGAUGUAGUUCACAAAUUAACUAGUAGAAGUGUCAUUAUUAUUAAUUUAUUGAACAUUUUGAAUGCAAAAAAAAACAACAAAUAAACAAACAAAAAACACAUGAUAUUUGUACAGAGGUGAAAGAAAAAAUUUCAAAAACUAAUAGCAUUCUUUUCUUUUGAAAGUGCUGGGCACCCAACAUAAUUUGGUAUCUUGUAAGGGGUAAUUUUAAAUUAUAUGUUGCAUCAAUUUUGUUUUGUUUUCGCUGAAGUGUGCAUUUGGUGGUGAUGGGGAAGACUUGAUUUAUAUAUACCAAACAGGUAUUAACUCAUUCAUUGGCCGAUAAUAUCUAUAUCCUUCAUGUAUAAGGUCAAUGAAUUAGGAUUAAAUUCCAAACAGAAUUGCUGGAACUCAGUCAGAUGAUAAUAGAAAGCAUUACAUAUACACCGUAAGAGUUAUAUUAAAAUGACACAAAAAUUGGA